AUUAAUAGUGUAACGUACGGCUAACGUUAUAACAUUUAGCAUUUGCAUAAACUUGAAGGAGAUCUGUGGAUAAGUUUUAUCCAGUAUACUAUGGUGUGAGACACUAUAAUGGCUGGCCGGAUUCCUCUGGUUGUGCUGGCCUGUGGCUCCUUCAACCCCAUUACCCACCAGCACAUACAGCUGUUCGAGCUGGCUAGAGACCACAUGCACCAGACGGCUGUUUGGACUCUCAUUAUGAUGGCACCCAUUCACUGCAGACAGAGGAUCCAUUGGUGGGCAAAUAAUGUGAUCAAUUUCUCCUGUAUCCGAUGGAGAAAAAAAACGAAUCAACAUCUUAGAUGACCUGAGGGUAGCACUACUACUGCAUAGCUGCUCAGUACCACAGCAGCAAGCACCUGCCCGCAGUCUCUGGUAAGCCACCUCUCAAUCUUUAUAAAUUGACACCAGAACCUCUCAUCACAGUUCGGUUUCCUCUGAACCUUAUCUCUGGCCCAACAAAGCCUUUUCUGUUUUUGCUAAUCACUUUAGAUAAGUCUGAUGCAUUUAAAACAGGCUGUUGUCUUUUCCCUGGCCAGCACAAGCGCUGUUAGGCCUCUUUUCAACAAUGCUUUUAUUUGGUGUUGCUGUAGAGGAGCAUGCUAAUGAAGCCUAAUACCCUCCACAGGAUGACUGAGCUUAAGACAAGCGUGCUCGGACUGUUAAUGAAGCUGAGAUUAAUAGCCAGGACAACUUUAUAACUAGACAAGUGCCAAGAAUGACAGAACACAUGCACACAAAUACCCUGUUAUCUCAAAACCUUUUAGAGAACUCCCUUAUUCAACGCCUGCUCCCCUUUGUUCUGUUGCUAUUCUUUCAUGUGUAAUGUCUUUUGUUUGGCUGUGGACUGAAGCAAGGCCAUAAUCAUGUUUUGAACACUGGGGGUGGGUCCAAUUAUUUAUUUUUUUAAACCUUUCAAAUAGAAAUUGUAUUUUUAUUUCAAGGAAUUACAUAACUAAAGGAUUUAAAUAAAUUCAAGGAAAUAUGUAUGAGUGAGUAAAGAGUAUGUAUGAAAUAUUAAUUUUAUAAAAUGUUACAAUUAAUAUUUUUUAUUAAAAAAUAUGGACAAUUUCACUCUAUUUGGUAUGACUAAUAUAUCAACAACACUAAAGGAAAAGCAUUUCUUGUCUCAUCACAUUACAUUUUUAAUUACACAAAUCACACAAAUGAUUUAGCCUAUAUUUUAAUAUGUCAAAUAUUACAUGUUCAGCUAAUAAAAUCUUACCUUGCACUUAUUAUGUUAAAAACUGAAGCGAUGCUGUGGAAUUCAUGUUUAGUAUAUGUGAACAGUGUGAACAAAAAAUUAACUUUUACAACUUUUUGUCUUUUUAACAACAAACAGUUAUGGCCUGGACUGAAAAUUGCAUAAAGAAACUCAUCAAAUUACAUUCAUCCUUCUGUUACAAUGAUAAAUAUACAUAUCAGUCAAAAUUAACCUAAAAGAUGUUUAAAAUCAUUGAUAUUUUUACAGAAAGAGAUCCUUUUAAUUUUAGAUUUCAUGUUGAAUUAUCUCAGGGAUUAUUUUUGAUUAAAUUGCUUUCAUGCAAACCCCAUUAUAGCCAAUUGAAAGAAAUCUGGCGCUUACUGAAUUAAGCCAUUUAUGAUUGUCUAGAAAUAUUAGUGUUUAUAUUGGAAUGUGCAUAAUUAUUUUCUUUACUGGUUUUUCCUGAAUGUAUUUGUUAUUAGAAUAAAUAUGAAGGGGGUGGUAUUUCCCCAUGCCCAUGCAGUGUGCACAUACAUUUCUUUAGAUCUAUUUUUAGUCACAUAAAGUAGAAAUAAAGAGCUUUGGUGGGCCGAUCGAGGUUCAUUUCCUGCCCCCUGCAAUUCACGCCUGCUCAAACAAAAGCCAGCUCUCAGACACAUGUUAUAGCAAGAGAAUUAGAGUUAAAAGCAUACUAUUGAUUCUUUCACAUCCUGUAAAUAACACUGCAGAGGUUGAGCCCUUAUAUUGCUAGCCAUGAAAUGAUUUCUAAUGAGGCGUUAAGGAAAGAAAAAUUGAGAUUUGAGAUGCAAGGGUUCAAGGAGUGUCAAACAUUUUGUUUAUGAGCCACCACAACAUAUUGAAAGAUGGGGAAAUUCAUUGAUAGCAUUGUUUUUUGGUUUGUAUUUGCAAAAAAAGUAAUAUGUAAAUCUGUUAACAGGCACCAAAUCUGUGUUCACUACAAUUUCCACUGUGCAGUUUCCAGUAUUGCAGGUUAUUUCAAGUUUUGUAGAAUGCAGAAUGUUAUCCUAAUUUGGAACCGCACAGCAUCACUGUUAUCUCUGCAGGAAAAAAAGAAGGAUUUGGACAUCUAUGCCACAAAUAAUAAUAAUAAUUAUAGAAAUGGAUUUGUACUGUCCAAAAAAAGGGGGCAUUUACUUAACAGUAAUGUAUAGUAUGGUUCAAAAGACUAUUUUGCUGGGAAACUCUGAGUUUUCGUUUUCAGAACAGCUAAACUCUGUUAGUUCUGUCGACUCUUGAGUUUGUUGACUGAGUUUAGCACGUGCACAAUGACAAUGAUAUGUCACGAUCAAUGGAGCUCCAAAAUUAUGAUUAUGAAAUUAUGAUUAUUAUGAUUCGCCAUGGCAACAGCAAUGACUUAUAUUUUGAAUGAUUGUUUCUGCAUGAUGAAAAUAUGCGCAGUGAAUGAAUACCUGCACUGCAAAAAAAUGAUUUUCUCAAAUUAAUUUUUUUUUAUAUUCAUGUUUCCAAUCAAAAUAUUCUUAAAUCGAGAUGAGUCUUAUACUCGUUUCCCCAGGAAACAUAACUAAAUACCUUAUACACUGUAAUUUUCAUCUGUAGAAAUUGCAUCUUAACGUAAAUAUUUUUAGAUAUAUGAUUUGGAAAUAAAACAAAAAUACUCAGUAAGAAAAGCUUUUUUGCAGGGUAAAUGAGUGAAUGAGGCGUUUAAACAUCACUUACGCUUUUAAAAGGGGGAGGAUGCCGAAAUAAACUAAAGAAAACCUGCUCCCAACCAGUGGUUCCUCAGAUGAAGCUGCUGUGUGGAGCAGAUUUCAUGGACACGUUUAAGGUGCCUGGUCUGGUGGGUCGAUUUGGACUAGUUUGUGUGAGCCGAGGUAGCCAGCAGCCAGACCAGGCUAUACAUGAGUCCGACUUAUUGUCCAGGCACCGGGGUAGCAUCUGUCUGGUUCGGGAGUGGGUCCACAAUGAGAUAAGUGCUACAGAGGUCCGACGAUCCCUACGGAGGGGCCAGAGUGUAAAAUAUCUCUUACCAGACUGAGUUAUUGAUUACAUAAGAGAGCACAACUUUAAGCACAAGACAGAACAAAGACGUUAAACUACGACCUCUUGUCAAGCAAACAAUACAAGACUGAUGCAUAAGAAAUAGCCUCCAGUGGUCUUAGUCAUAAGUAGUAGCAAAAUACGUAUCCAAAGAAUCACUUUUCAUAUAGAAGAUGCGAAAGCAGUUGUAGUGGAGUUGCAUAUUUUGUCUUGUGUAAAAUGAACGUUAUCCAUGACCAUGUUUUCCUAGUGUAAUGUGUGGAGAGGGAUUUAGGAAUUUAUCCCGUCUCUGCAGGAGUUAGAUUUUCCAGAUCACUGCAGAGCUGUAGGUCUAUGUUCGGCAGGCCUGAGAUUUGUUGACUUUUGCUGAAUGUCACAAGGAAGAUAAAUAACAGCCUUUACACUUUGGAUGGCAAACAUUGCUUCUUCCAUUUCCAUUUGCACAGAAAGCGUCAUUCAUGUUGUCAGAUCACUAAAGAUGUUUCAUUAAGCUUUGUCAGUUGGGCGGGAGGUUCAGACGAAAUAAAAUAGAAGAAUGUAGUUUGAGGCAGCGUUUUUUUUUUUUCUUGUACCACUGACUGUGAGUUUUGGCUGAACCCAGCUAGUUGCUAUAAGGGUGUUUUUUGAAGAGUUGAAGCCCUCCUGCUGACAGUCUUUGUGUGUGGAGUUUGGGCUUUAAAGAAGGCCUUUAUUCAUGCUGUCUUGAAAGAAAAGCCAGACGAAUUAAUUCAACACAACUAGUCCCACUCUUCUAGAUGGCCGCUGCUUUGCACAGAAGGGCCGUGUGUGCCAAUUCAAAGCAUCAGACACUUUUGACUGACAGAUGAAAGGAGUGACAAUGCAACUUGAUUUUAUAUCAAGCACAAAACCUACAGUACUUUUAUUUUAUUUGAAGAACAAAUAGACUUCAAAAUUAUGUAUUUUAUGUGAAUUAAUCUAAGAAGACAAUUGAAAUUGUUUUUUUUUCUACAUUAUAUUAAAGAAAUAAGCAUUAUGUGUAAGAGUAUUUUGUUAUUGAUAGCAUGUUGCUGCAUUAAAUGGGGUAAGUUGUCACAAUGGGACCUACCAUUAAACACUAUCACCUUUUCAGUGAAAUGAAAACAGUAAAACUAACAGUAAAACGUGGCUUAGUGGUUAGAGAGUUUGACUCCUAACCCUAGGGUUAUGGGUUCGAAUCUUGGGCUGGCAAUACCACGACUUAGGUGCCCUUGAGCAAGGAAUCGAACCCCCAACUGCUCGCUGAAUGC
Long non-coding RNA from Carassius auratus (goldfish), 4506 nucleotides. RefSeq lists it as uncharacterized. The transcript is spliced from 5 exons. The record is from RefSeq and is a predicted model, not a curated record. NCBI's taxonomy places the organism in Eukaryota, Metazoa, Chordata, Actinopteri, Cypriniformes, Cyprinidae.